This 27-nucleotide non-coding RNA is filed under the name Mus musculus (house mouse). The record is from RNAcentral. Lineage: Eukaryota; Metazoa; Chordata; Mammalia; Rodentia; Muridae.
CACAUCUUUGUGUGGUUGGAGUGGAGA